UUUGACCUCCCUUUUAUUGAGUCACGUGAUCGAAGAAAACAUGGCUUCUUGAAUCGAGAUUUGUCAAUGUUUUGGUAAAAGUAGGAAUCCUACCAACUAACACUGGAUGUGAUUAACAGUCUUUAACUGAAUGAUUUGUAACUUAAAUUCCAUGUACCGUUAUAUACAUAGCUAGCUAAGUAACUGUUCUACUUUCGGUUGUUCGUAAUUCUCAGGAAGAUGAGUGUGCAGACAUCCGCGACACAAGUCGUAAGGCUAGCUAACGGUAGCUAGCUAAGCUAACUUACCAUCUAUAUUUGUUAUCAAGCACCAAAUUCAACCCAGCAACAUGCCUCCUCGGAAAAAGCGAGAGAACAGAUACGCUGAUGAUGGUCCCAGGAAACGAAGACGAGCAGUUGAUCAUGAAGAGGACAGAGUCGUCAUCUCAGACAGCGACGAGGAUGAAGACUUCAGACCAACAUCGUUAGAUGUUAAACGGGAGAAGGAGAGUAAAAUACGUUCUAACGAGAUGACUGAGGAAGAGAUGCUGGAUCUGGCCAUGAGGCUGAGUGAACAGGAGGCCAGCAACACUGCUCUCAGGCAACGACAGGAGGAGGAGACCAUGAGGAAGGCCAUCGCUGAAAGCCUCUACGCGGACAGACACACUCAUCCCCACUCAGAAUCUCUGCUGGUGGACGGGAGCCCUACCCAGAAAUGUCAACGUUCCCCUCCAGAGGCAGAAAGCAGCAUACAGCCCCCCAGGCGGAAGCUCUCUUACCCCAACCAUGGUGUGGCUGACAGGGAGGGAGCCCACGGUGUAGGUGUUAGUGUAGGGGUUUCUAACCCAGAAACCAGCAGGAGGGGGAAAAAAGAGGCUAGUCCAUUACUAGAUAUGCCUGACCUAUCUCAGACCCAGAAGGUCUACUCCCAGUCUUCUGCCCUCAGCCAAGCUUCCACCUCCAUGCCUCUCUCUUCACAGGAGGGGUCUUCUCUAAAGAACCCUUUCGGAAACCUCUCAGCCCACGUUGAAUCUCAGGAAUGCAAGUCCACAGAGAAUGAGUCCCAACUCAGGAAGAAGUCCCCUGUAUUCCCUCUCGCCACUACAGUCCCCUCAGCCAGCAAACUCAUCCUGUGCCUGCAUAAGCUCAGCCAGGACCUCCUAGAAGACUGUCAGGCCUCUGGGUUCCUACUAUGUUCUCAAGAGAGUCCUCCAAGCGUAACUCUUUCCACAAAGUCCCAGAUGUCUCAGUCUUUUCAGCCAAAGAGCCCUACAUUCUCCAAAAGCCCUGUUUUCUCCAGGACAGAGAGAACUGCAGGUGGGGAACCAGGCCAAGGGAGUCCCCCUAUGUUCUCGGAGUCUGAUUCAGGAAAGGAAGAAAAAGAGGCAAGUCCAACUUUUCCUAAAAGUGCCAUGUUCUCCAGUAGUGAUACAGGAGAAGAAGAGAAAGCGGCAAGUCCCACCUUUCCUGGAAGCCCAGUCUUCCCCAGAACUGAUCAGAUAAGGGACCAGGGUCCACAGAACUGUAUUGAAAGUGUCUCUACAUCAGAAGACCAAGAGGUCAGAGACAGAGAGGAUGUGAAGAGCAGCGAAUCCUCAAAGUGCCUUCCACCACGCCUCAGAACAACCCUGUCCCUGAACAAGAGACUCAUGCCUAUAAGGAAGACAGCUGGAGUUGCAGACAAAGUUGUUGACCAAGAGGAACGUCAGGGUGAAUCCUCGCAGAGCGCUGUAAACAGGAUUAGCACGCCUGCAAAGUUUGCUGCAGAAGAAGACCUUAAUUCAGAGGAACUUACAUUGGCUUUUGAGACUCAGCCAAUGCAGGAGUUAACCAGUAAUAUGGCGCUACGCUGGUCAGAUGACGACGAAGAGGAAGACGGUCCUGCAAAGUCGGCUCAGUUGCCCAGCCCAGUCUUCCCACAAGAGAAUGACCUCCCACAACCAAGCAACCAAUGUCUCUCCACAAACACCAACCACCACUGUUCCCCUCCACACAUACACAGCCCCUGCCUCGUCCCCAAGAAACGCACACACAUCUCUGAAGACUCCGCGUGCGAGGACGGAGAGAGCCAGUCCAAGCGCAUCCGGAAGAAGUUCACCUUCAAGGGCAUGUAUGGAUCUCCCUCCCCCUUUCUCCCCAGACAGGCUGCAGGUAGAGGGAGCCAGGAUGAGGCACAGGCCAGAUACCCCUCUUCCCACCAGCCCCAGGCCUCUUCCAGCCACCUCUCUCCCCCCACAGGCGGCCAGGGGGAUGGGGGAGUGGUGUGCUACUAUUGGGGCGUGCCUUUCUGUCCACGAGGGCAGGACCCAGAUGCCUACACGCAGGUGAUCAUGUCCCAGCUGGAGGUGUAUGAGAAGAGCCUGAAGGAAGCCCAGAGGGGUCUGCUGAGGAAGGCAGGCUGGGGGGAGCCUGUCCUUCCUGGGCCCCCAGAGAGACCUUUUUCCAGGAGGGGACGCCCCAAGAGACACAGGGCCCCAGAACUUCUGGAGGAAGAGGAGGAAGAAGUCCAGGGAGUGAGAAACCAGCAGGAAGAGGUCGUAGAGGUGGUAGAGGAUGAUGAAGAGGAGGGUGAGGAAAGGGAGUGGCGGCGGUCACAGGGAGGGAUGGAAGAGGGAGGGAGGAGAGGAAGACUGGAGUGGAAGGACUAUCAGUCACUGUUUGUGUCCACUCCUGAACAAGACGAAAAAUCGCCCUCACCUGUAUUUCAUGUAGAAUCCAAUCAACAACAAAUUCUACCUCGAAGGAGUCUUGGCCUUAGAAAAGAAGAGAGAAGACCAUCGCCACUGCCUGUCCCGCUGGAGAAGGAAAAGGAAGAAGAUGAAAAAGAGGGAGAGAAGAGGGAGGAGGAAGAAAUCAUGGGGGAGGAAGUGGUGGAUGUCGGUGGCUUAGAAGUUCCAGGUAUAAGAAAUGAUGAGACCCAACUCAGUGACGAUGGCACCCAAGACCUGAUGGUCACCAACCCUGCACGGCCCCAACCAGAGAGGCAGUCCCUGCCUCAGAUCCAGACUUUUCUCUCAUUACCCCAUCCUCUGGAGCAGCGUGUAGAGGGGAUGGAGGUGAAAGAGGAGAGGAGGAGUGGCCCUGUUAGGAGUCCUGCUAGAAGAGAGGAUGUGAGGGUGGAAAUGGAGGAGACUAGGGAGGUACAGGGUGGGGUCUCAGAACCUGCACCCCCUCAGAGCCCCAGCAUGGACUGUCCCAUGUGCAUGCGCCCCUUCCCCCUGACAGAGAUUGAGCUGCACGCUGCCUACUGUGACGGUAGUACCGCUAACAUAGAGGAAGAGGAGAUGAUGGCUCCGAGCCAAUCGCAAGUUACAGUGAAGUCUCAUAGGAAGAGGACCAGAAGGGGAGAAAGAAUUGGAGAGGAGCAGCCCUGUUCUUCUGGCUCUGGCAAGGCAGUGCAGGGAGAGAAGUGCUUCCUGUGUCAGCAGCUAUUUCAUCUCCGGGACUAUGAGAAGCACGUAGAGUACUGCAUCAGAAACCAAGAAGUGUCCAAGGCUGCAUCCAGGGCCGGAAAGCUGUCGUGAAGCACUCACCGUUGGUCUUCUGCUCUUUCUUCCCUCUGUGUGAUGGAUGAUCUUCCAGAGUGGAGACUUGCUGAGUGCUUUGGAACAGACAGAGCACAGAGAUUUAGGGACUGCUGAGGCCGGACCAUGUGAUGCUGCCUUCAGGAGCCAACACAGUGGCCUUAUUGAGGAUCUGGGAGAGUCUGGGGGAAGUGGAGACAUCGCCGUCUCAGGUUUCAGAGUGAGCACCUCGCCCAUCCGAUCCUUCACCUCCAUCUCAGAAGCCACAGACUGCCUUAUUGACUUCAAGCGCCAGUACUCUUCCUGUACUUCCUCCUCUUCCUCCUCUAGGCCCAGACAAAGAGGGAGGAAAUUCAAUAGGAAAUUCAAAUGUACUAAAAAAUAGAAAAUACUGUCAACUGCUUUUUUUAAUACCACUGCAUAUCUUUUCUUUGUAUUGUUUGUUACACUGAAUCAAGUGAUACAAAUGUGUGUUAAUGUGUGAUUAAAUAAUACAUCUAAAUGUU
RNA transcript from Oncorhynchus kisutch (coho salmon), 4008 nucleotides. It is a transcript of the gene named ubiquitin interaction motif containing 1, with no coding region annotated. NCBI's taxonomy places the organism in Eukaryota, Metazoa, Chordata, Actinopteri, Salmoniformes, Salmonidae. The record is from RefSeq and is a predicted model, not a curated record. The transcript has 17 exons.